RNAcentral lists this unclassified non-coding RNA (174 nucleotides) under uncultured Sebacina. RNAcentral's name for it is "sequence contains ITS1". The record is from RNAcentral. Lineage: Eukaryota; Fungi; Basidiomycota; Agaricomycetes; Sebacinales; Sebacinaceae.
ACGAGUUACAAGUCGGUCGACCGUGCUGGCGGAAACGCACGUGCACGUCGGCCGCAAAACCUCAUCCACACACCUGUGAACGUAUGGCCUUUGGGUCUUUGACCCGGGGGCAAACCCAUUUUUACCCACUCUGUUUGUAAAGGAAUGUACCUUGUGCUCAUGCGCAAAAAGUAA